This is a long non-coding RNA of Prionailurus viverrinus (fishing cat), 736 nucleotides long. RefSeq lists it as uncharacterized. The transcript has 2 exons. NCBI's taxonomy places the organism in Eukaryota, Metazoa, Chordata, Mammalia, Carnivora, Felidae. The record is from RefSeq and is a predicted model, not a curated record.
CAGGUGCGGCUCGGGGGGGAGGACAGGGCAAAAGACAGGCAGGAUGACUGGGAGGAAGCCGGUGGCCAGCCACACGGCGGAGGGGGCGGGGCACGCCGCCUCGCUCUCCCACAACCUGGCUGGCCCCCCUCCUAGACCAAGUAGGAGGCAUGAUCACGGGUGCCGUGGCCGAAACGUAAGAUUCCGGGCAAUGCUACAGCUCCAACACUGGCCUGUGUGGGAGAGGAGAGACGACAUAAAUGUCAGCCCGAUUUGGGGAGCUGGAGUCGCCGCUCCGGGGAAAAGCCUUUUCUACCCUCCACUGUCCAGUGGGUAAGAAGCCAGCUGCUCUGGUGUCGCCGUGGAAUCCAGGGCAACCCGUGUUGGGGUGCCCUAGAAGUGCAGCUUGUGGCUGGGCCUCCCCACCCCCAUGAGACACAGCGGGCAGGGACUGUCCCGCCAUUUCACAGGAAAAACAAAUCCAUGUAUUUUUUUGGUGAUGCUGGGAUGUGAGAACACAUUUCUGCUCCAGCAAAGGGUUUUUAAAAAAUGAAGCCGUAACGUGCCAGCUCCCAAAAGUAAGGGCUGGAUGUCAUUUAUCCUGUCUCCCCACACCCCCCCCACCUCCCGCUCCCCGCACCCCCCCCCCCUUCUGGUUUAGAGCUGGGAGCCUAAGGGAUAUAUUUGUUGUGCUGACCGGACAUUUGACUCCUGUGUAAGAUGGGCUACUAUUGAAUCAAUAAAUCAAUAAACAAAG